RNAcentral lists this non-coding RNA (205 nucleotides) under human gut metagenome. The record is from RNAcentral.
AGAACUGAUAUUCCGACAGGUGGAAUGACGGAGUAACGCCCUGAAACGCCUGCCUUGAUACUACGGUGUGCAUUCGGUAUAGGUAAGAAUACCGUUUGUGCAAAGCCCGUUGAAGUCGGCAGAGAGUAGCCCUACCAUUGCAGAAAUGCAGAUGAGGAAAGUGGUCUGGAGGCAGAUUGUGCUACCUAUAUGCCGGAGGUCUAUA